Myodes glareolus (Bank vole) is the source of this 594-nucleotide non-coding RNA. The record is from RefSeq and is a predicted model, not a curated record. NCBI's taxonomy places the organism in Eukaryota, Metazoa, Chordata, Mammalia, Rodentia, Cricetidae.
ACUAUACAAAGCUUUGCGAAGCACAAUUUUGCAACUCAUUUGGGUAAACCACUACCUGACAGUUACUUGUCAGCAACACCUGUCAAGAACUAAGACCAAGUUUCCUAUACUGGACUAUCAUGCUUAAGUCCAUGAGGGCACGACUGACGAAUCACAUCAGGAUACGAAGAUUCUAGUUUGCAGACCUGAGUCGGUCCGUUACUUUACAGUGCGCUCAUCCCACACAAAGCACUGGCUUUCAGAAUGUCCCUAUCUCGCUAUAACUACCAUGGCUCCAAGCAAGAAUCGGACGCAAGCGCAUAGACGCAAGUAAGUCUUCAUUAGGUCCUCACUCAUUGGAACCAUGAGGUCAAACCCUGCAGACGGAGAGACACUAGUGCUUGUCCCCGUCAUGUAAGAUGGGGCAUUCCGUUACACUAUCAAGUGCUUGAAGAGGUUGAUGGUUGGAGAUGUGGGGUGGUAAACAUCAUAGUCAAAGGCCUGAUUAUUAGAUGGCAGCCAUAGUUUGGGUAAUAGUGAAGGGUCUAUGGUGUGAGACAGCAAACGGGAAGAGGUCGCUGGACAGCUGUUGUCUUGGAAACAAUUAUGGGGAUG